This 697-nucleotide ribosomal RNA is filed under the name Sporothrix curviconia. Its description in RNAcentral is "eukaryotic LSU rRNA". It matches the Rfam family "Eukaryotic large subunit ribosomal RNA", at positions 148 to 873 of the family's 3401-position model. The record is from RNAcentral. Lineage: Eukaryota; Fungi; Ascomycota; Sordariomycetes; Ophiostomatales; Ophiostomataceae.
AUUUGGAGAGGAUGCUUCUGGCGCGGCGCCGUCCGAGUUCCUUGGAACAGGACGCCACAGAGGGUGAGAGCCCCGUACGGACGGACGCCUAACCGAUGCGAAGCUCCUUCGACGAGUCGAGUAGUUUGGGAAUGCUGCUCAAAAUGGGAGGUAAAUUUCUUCUAAAGCUAAAUACCGGCCAGAGACCGAUAGCGCACAAGUAGAGUGAUCGAAAGAUGAAAAGCACUUUGAAAAGAGGGUUAAAAAGUACGUGAAAUUGUUGAAAGGGAAGCGCCUGUGACCAGACUUGCGCCCCGCGGACCACCCGGCGUUCUCGCCGGUGCACUCCGCGGGGCGCAGGCCAGCAUCGGUUCUCCCAGGGGGACAAAGGCCGCGGGAACGUAGCUCCUUCGGGAGUGUUAUAGCCCGCGGCGGCAUGCCCCUGGGGGGACCGAGGACCGCGCUUCGGCAAGGAUGCUGGCGUAAUGGUCACCAGCGACCCGUCUUGAAACACGGACCAAGGAGUCAAGCAUUGGGGCGAGUGUAUGGGUGCCAAACCCGCACGCGAAAUGAAAGUAAACGCAGGUGAGAGCUUCGGCGCAUCAUCGACCGAUCCUGAUGUCUUCGGAUGGAUUUGAGUAAGAGCCUUACCGCUUGGACCCGAAAGAUGGUGAACUAUGCCUGAAUAGGGUGAAGCCAGAGGAAACUCUGGUGGAGG